Molecule: ribosomal RNA, 328 nt
Filed under: uncultured delta proteobacterium
Lineage: Bacteria; Deltaproteobacteria
Description: bacterial SSU rRNA
Rfam family: Bacterial small subunit ribosomal RNA
Source: RNAcentral
CAAUUCCCUUCGCUUUGGGAUGAGCCUGCGUCUCAUUAGCUAGUUGGUAGGGGUAAAGGCCUACCAAGGCUAUGAUGGGUAGCUGGUCUGAGAGGAUGAUCAGCCACACUGGAACUGAAACACGGUCCAGACUCCUACGGGAGGCAGCAGUGGGGGAAUCUUGCGCAAUGGACGACAGUCUGACGCAGCCACGCCGCGUGAGUGAAGAAGGCCUUCGGGUUGUAAAGCUCUGUCGAGUGGGACGAAAAAUUUUUAGGUAAAUAGCCUAAAGAUCUGACGGUACCGCUAAAGGAAGCACCGGCUAACUCCGUGCCAGCAGCCGCGGUAA